Myotis brandtii (Brandt's bat) is the source of this 1893-nucleotide long non-coding RNA. RefSeq lists it as uncharacterized. The record is from RefSeq and is a predicted model, not a curated record. The transcript is spliced from 2 exons. NCBI's taxonomy places the organism in Eukaryota, Metazoa, Chordata, Mammalia, Chiroptera, Vespertilionidae.
UUGAAGGUACCAGUAUUGAGUUGAAUGCUUUUUUUUUAGGUACUUUGUAUUCUUUGAUUUUGACCUUCAGCUACAUGUUAAAAACCACCAAUUUUGGCUUUUACUAAGUUAAAUAAAGUUAUAAUACAGUUGUAAAGAGCUAAAGUUAGAGUUGAUUACAUAACAGUAUUUCCCAAGUUUUCUAGUCUUUUCUUUAAAACAUAUAUGUAUAGAUUUAAUCAGUUACUUUUGAAUCUUUGGGUAUAUAUAAUUUGGGGAAAGUAUUUUUAUGGCUUGGUAUUUCAUCAUAAAUUUAGAAGCUUAAUAGAUUCAAAUUUUCUAAAGCCAGAUGAUAGGCUCACCAUAUUUAGAUUAGCGUGUUCAUGCUUGGCUAUAGGAUUUAAAAUGUCUGAAAAGCCUGAUGAGGAAAAAUAAAAAGAAUUUUAUUCUUUUAAAUGUAAACCAAACAAAUUUAAAUACUAGUAGUUUGAUUCACACAAACCUUUUCAAUUCUAUGAGCGUUCUUUGUAGAGAAUUUCUUAAGCCAGGUAUUAUAACUCACCCUACUACCAGUACAUACCGUGUGAUAUUAAAACAGUAUGAUUUUACAGAAUACAGUGGGCAUUGAAGUAACAAAUUCUCUAUGUACAAAGCUCCUUUGUAAGGAAGCAUGCAUUUUAAAAGAGGAGAAUGGGAAUCAGGAGAAGAAGUUACUGUCCACUUGAAGAUUUAGUCAUCUUUGGAUGCUUUCCACAGAAAGUUUGUUUUCCUCUGCAUAUGAAUGAAGAAUGAAGCAGCAUUAUGAAUAAGGUACACAUUUUAGGCAUCUAUGAUUGAUUAUGUUAAAAGGAGCAGCAGCACCUGUUUGCUUUGAACCCUUUCUAUAACAUCAGGGCUUAUAGGCUCCAGAUUUCUUGGCACUGAAAAAAGAAGUUGAAGUGGGUAAAUGAAGGUUUGCCUCAAGAGUCUAGUCAUAGUGGUGAACUCUUGAGUGCUUGUGAGAAGAUUUGAUGGGCUUUGCAGAAGUGAUGAGCCCAGCUUUUAUCUGGGGCCACAUAGUAAUUUAGUCAUUGGGGAUCCAAAGGCAUUGUGUGAAUUGGGAAGCCUGGAAUAUGUCAGAAAGACAUUGAGAUUGGCUUCUAACACUCUCCAUACUCGAGGUGGGAGAAUAGGCUACAUUCUGCCAAUUCCAGAAUCAGCCAAUCCUUGAGCUUUGACACUGUGCAAAAUCAUGACCUUCUGUCUAUGAGGGUAGCUGAACUCAGCAUAUAAUUAUAAAUUAAUAGCUACAAUUUUAGGAAGUGCAGUGUGUGGGGAGGGGAAAUUGUUUUUCACAAACCAUUUGUCAUCAUGGCCCUUGCUGUGAUGGGAUCUUGACAUGAGGAGGAAUAAGUUAUAAACAUUUUUCUUUCUGGUAGUGAGCAGGUACUAUAUCUAGUAGGGCAUUUUGAAAUGGUUUGUUAUUGCAAGUACUUUCUCGGGAUUAUUUAUUUCUUAAACCGAGUUAAUGGCUUUGAAGAUAUCUUUGAAGUAAGAAAUCACAUUUAUGGAUAUGGGUUUUGAUAAACUGGGUUUCUGAUUUCCAUGAUGAGCAAAGGAAAUGAAACACCAACUCACAUGGACUCUUAGAGCCUGACUAUCACUUAGCAUAUUGAAAGUAUUUUUUUCCUUAAGACCAGUAGCUGGUAAAGGGAAGAUUUAUUUUUAUCAGCAAGUUUACAGAAAGCAGAGGCAAGUGUUGCUGGAAAUCUUUGGUAUGGCACCAGCUCCUAAAUUCCAUGUUUAACCCUAUGGAAUCCAUUCUUCAUGUAGCAGCUAAAAUAAUUUUGAGUAAAUUGGAUGAUGUCAUUCCUCUGCUUAGAACGUGUAUUGCUUUCCAGUGUGCUGAGAGUAAAAUCCAAACUUCUUAAUGAA